GACUGGAUAGGAAAUAAAAAGGCAUCUUUUUAUUUUUAAAAGACCUUUUUCGAAAGGUAUGCUUAAAGAGGGGCUUGCGCCAUAUUAGUUAGUUGGUAGGGUAAAAGCCUACCAAGACGAUGAUAUGUAGCUGGACUGAGAGGUUGAACGGCCACAUUGGGACUGAGACACGGCCCAAACUCCCACGGGAGGCAGCAGUAGGGAAUUUUCGGCAAUGGAGGAAACUCUGACCGAGCAACGUCGCGUGAACGAUGAAGUAUUUCGGUAUGUAAAGUUCUUUUAUUGAAGAAGAAAAAAUAGUGGAAAAACUAUCUUGACGCUAUUCAAUGAAUAAGCCCUGGCUAAUUAUGUGCCAGCAGCCGCGGUAAUACAUAAAGGGCGAGCGUUAUCCGGAAUUAUUGGGCGUAAAGGGUGCGUAGGCGGUUUGUUAAGUCUUUAGUUUAAUCUCAGUGCUUAACGCUGUUCUGCUAGAGAAACUGACUUACUAGAGUGAGAUAGAGGCCAGUGGAAUUCCAUGUGUCAGCGGUAAAAUGCGUAAAUAUAUGGAGGAACACCAGAGGCGUAGGCGGCUUGCUGGGUCUUUACUGACGCUGAGGCACGAAAGCGUGGGGAGCAAACAGGAUUAGAUACCCUGGUAGUCCACGCCGUAAACGAUGAGUACUAAGUGUCGGGGAAACUCGGUACUGAAGUUAACACAUUAAGUACUCCGCCUGAGUAGUACGUACGCAAGUAUGAAACUUAAAGGAAUUGACGGGAUCCCGCACAAGCGGUGGAUCAUGUUGUUUAAUUCGAAGAUACACGAAAAACCUUACCAGGUCUUGACAUACUCUGCAAAGCUGUAGAAAUACAGUGGAGGUUAUCAGGGAUACAGGUGGUGCAUGGGUGUCGUCAGCUCGUGUCGUGAGAUGUUAGGUUAAGUCCUAGAACGAGCGCAACCCUUGUCGUUAGUUACCAGCACGUUAUGGUGGGCACUUUAACGAGACUGCCAAUGAAAUAUUGGAGGAAGGUGAGGAUUACGUCAAAUCAUCAUGCCCCUUAUGAUCUGGGCUACAAACGUGAUACAAUGGCUGUUACAAAGAGUAGCUGAAACGUGAGUUUUUGGCCAAUCUCAAAAAAACAGCCUCAGUUCGGAUUGAAGUCUGCAACUCGACUUCAUGAAGUUGGAAUCGCUAGUAAUCGCAAAU
RNAcentral lists this ribosomal RNA (1184 nucleotides) under Candidatus Phytoplasma pini. RNAcentral's name for it is "bacterial SSU rRNA". It matches the Rfam family "Bacterial small subunit ribosomal RNA", at positions 167 to 1349 of the family's 1533-position model. The record is from RNAcentral. Lineage: Bacteria; Bacillati; Mycoplasmatota; Mollicutes; Acholeplasmatales; Acholeplasmataceae.